GAUGAACGCUGGCGGCGUGCCUAAUACAUGCAAGUCGAGCGAACAGACGAGGAGCUUGCUCCUCUGACGUUAGCGGCGGACGGGUGAGUAACACGUGGAUAACCUACCUAUAAGACUGGGAUAACUUCGGGAAACCGGAGCUAAUACCGGAUAACAUGUUGAACCGCAUGGUUCAACAGUGAAAGACGGUCUUGCUGUCACUUAUAGAUGGAUCCGCGCCGCAUUAGCUAGUUGGUAAGGUAACGGCUUACCAAGGCAACGAUGCGUAGCCGACCUGAGAGGAUGAUCGGCCACACUGGAACUGAGACACGGUCCAGACUCCUACGGGAGGCAGCAGUAGGGAAUCUUCCGCAAUGGGCGAAAUCCUGACGGAGCAACGCCGCGUGAGUGAAGAAGGUCUUCGGAUCGUAAAACUCUGUUAUUAGGGAAGAACAAAUGUGUAAGUAACUAUGCACGUCUUGACGGUACCUAAUCAGAAAGCCACGGCUAACUACGUG
Molecule: ribosomal RNA, 497 nt
Filed under: uncultured bacterium
Lineage: Bacteria
Description: partial 16S ribosomal RNA
Rfam family: Bacterial small subunit ribosomal RNA
Source: RNAcentral